Capsicum annuum is the source of this 5297-nucleotide long non-coding RNA. RefSeq lists it as uncharacterized. The record is from RefSeq and is a predicted model, not a curated record. Lineage: Eukaryota; Viridiplantae; Streptophyta; Magnoliopsida; Solanales; Solanaceae. The transcript has 4 exons.
GUUUAUUUUUUUCCCCUACUUCCCGUUGCUUGUUUGUUCAUUAUUUUCCUUUUUUAAAUCUUUAGGCAGAGCAAAGUCUCUAUCACCACUCUGAAGCCAAUGGAUUCUCAAGUAUUUUUGUGAAAUCAAAUCUAGAUGAUGUUUCAGCAUUGUGAUUUUUAGGAAACAAAUUUCACUCUUUCUUUAAAAAUAAAAAUUAAAAAAUGAAACUUAAUUAAUGAAGUUCUAAAAACCAGAAGUUAGACACAAAAUUUGGACUAGAUAAUUCAUUCUUCAAAAAUUGUAACACAGUAUUUACUUAAAGCUACUAUUACUAAUCUAGUUAUGAAGAUCUAGUCAUGCAAAACAAAUUAAUAAUAACAACGGUAGCGACUAGCCGUUCUUUAAUAUAAUUUUUUCAUAUUAUACGACCAAUUUCUUUAAUAAAAAUGGUUUAAUGAGGGGUUAGAUAGAUAGAAUUAUAGUUAGAGCCAUAAUUAAUGGGCUUUUCUUUUUAUAAAAUUUAAAAAUUUAGGUAAAGUUUUUAAAUUUUAGAACAACCCAAAACUAGAUUUUGGCCCCGCAACUAAUUUUUUCUAGUUUUUGGUAUCUUGGGACUUUUUCCAAAACUUGAUAACGUUUAUGGCCAAACAAGUCCUUCAGGUCGGAAUGAACUUUUUGAGAUGCAACAAAAAAGGUGAUAAAAAACGAAAUCUAGUAUUGGUAGAGGGUUGGUGGGUAGGAGUUCAUCCGUUAUAGUAUGGAAGAGUUCUUUGUUUGUAUCUGCGCCUAGAGUUUCUUGUUCGUGAUAUUUCGGUGAUGUCUAUGAUUUUGGAUAGAUAGUUUAUAGUAGUACCUUGUGGAUGUCUUGUUCUCUUUAUUAUCUAGCCGUGUGUUAUCCCAUUUUGUUGUGUACUUUCAUGUUUUUUGUUUGUUAUACUGUUCUAUGUCCUGAGCCGGGGUUCUAUCGGAAACAACCUCUCUAUUUCAUUUGAGGUAGUGGUAUGGACUGCAUACACGUUGCCCUCCCCACACCUCACUUUGCCGGAAUACAUUGGGUAUGUUGUUGUUGGUAUCGGUAGGAAUUGAAAUAAUUUGCUCCAGAAAGUUGAUAGCUUAGCUUAAUACUAAUGAACUAGUAAUCUGUUGCCAUGCACAUAUGUAUUUAUUAUCUUUGGAGAUUCAUCUCAGUAGUUAUAAUGACCCUUCAGGCCAUUAGCUGUGUUCUUGCUUAUCUUCGCCAAUAGAGCUGCUCCACAGCCAUCUCAAGUCAUUAGUGGCUUGCUGGAAUCGAUAGUUCGGUUACCUAAUAGUUUGAUUGGUUUUUAAAACCACUUUUCCAAUUUGAAGUCUUCGUCGAUUAUUCAAUCAAUAUCAUAACAAUGCCGUUGGCCCAUUAAGUAAUCCAAAAUAAUCACAACAUCAUAAUCAUGGCAUUAGGCCCAUACACAUAUCCAGAACUUAUAUCAAUAAUCAUAUUUAUAAGUCAUAGCAUAUCCCUAAUCAUCUCACAUAUAGGAGGGAUAAUAUAGAUAAGCAUGUCAUCAUCUCUCACACAAGAGGCAUCUCACAUCUAGGAGGAAUAAUAUAGAUAGACAUGUAAUUGUCUAUAGGAUAUCAUAUAUCAAUAGGUCAUACAGCAUGACAACGAGGAAUAUCACUCCUCUAGGCCAAUUUACAUAUCCAAGAGGAACAUCGUCUCUAUAUGUCGAACAAUCAUGAAUAAAGAAAAUCGCAACUAUAUGGGUCAAUCAUCAAGUCUAAGAGGAAAUAACAACUUUAUAGGACAAUCAUCAAGUUUAAGAGGAAAUAGCACCUCGAUAGGCCACAUAACAUAUCUAGGAGGAAUAUCAUCUCUAAAUUCCCAAUAUCACUUUACGAUUCUCAAAAUGCCAUCACACUAUCAAAACCAUAAUCUACUUAAUAAGAGUUUAAUGAUACCCAUAUUGCACUAUUGUGCCAUGGGUUUCAAAAUGACACCAAAUUAAAACCUGGUCCCACCUUCGAAAAAUGAGCUUCCGAAAUCAACCCAUAGUCUAAAUAUCAUUGGGGAGCUAAAACCCUCAACAAAUUUGAGUAAAGCAAUCACAUUUAUGGCUACAAUUGAGCCUCAAAGACUUGGGGUUUUUGGUCUAGAAAUUAAGAAAUUAAUAUCAAAUUUGAAGGAAUAUUACCUUAGAUUUGUAGAAAAAAAUUGGAUUACACAAGUUGCUAAGCUUUUAACCAACCCACAAGACUCAUUUUUUUUUUUUUUUGACAACAAAUAUUUAUGGAUGCUGGCGUUUUCAAAAUGCUGAAGAAUGUCUCAAAAAUCUGCCAAAAGGCCUUUUUUUUAUAUGAGUUUAAAUGGGCCCGCAAGGUCAAAACUUGUUUUUGACCUCUCGGACUUAUUCAAACUUCGUUUUUUGCAAACGAACUAUGUUACCCCACUAAAUUCGACAUUUUGGACGCAUUGGUGAAGUCAGAUUUUCAUCCGAGGUCAUUUAGGCCACUUGUAUUUCCCACACCCAUAUAUCCCGAUUUUUAACUUUUCGACUAAUGGUUCGAAAUGAGCUCGGGUGUUGUGGGAUUCGGACCAAGGGUCUACCUACCCUCAAAUUGAUAUGACAUAGCUGCUGGCGUAAUCAAAAUUUGCAUCCAAAAUUAUUUUACUGAAGUUUUUGUUCGGCGGCCAUUUGGAAUCGACGAAGACUUCAAAUUGGAAAAGUGGUUCUAAAAACCAAACGAACCGUCAGAUAACCGAACUAUUGAUUCCAGCAAGCCAUUAAUGACUUGGGAUAGCUAUAGUGGAGCUCUAUUGGUGAAGAUAAGUAAGAACACUGCUAAUGACCUGAAGUGUCAUUACAACAUCCACUACUAAGGAACUUUCAUCCUUGAAAGUUAAAGAUGAGGAAAUACCUGAAGUCUCGAAUAGGUGUGGAUACUACAGAAAUCUCUCUAGUAUGCAACUGCCUCACAUAGCUAGCCAAGAUGAGCAUGGGCUCCUCUACAAAGGCCAACUGCUCAUCUAACUGGACUAAGUCCCACCUUAGCACAUGGGACAGGUCAGGAAUAUACUUCCGCAGCAUGGAGAUAUGGAAAACUGGAUUAGCAGCGACAAAGUAUGGAGGUAAAGCUAACUCAUAGAUCACCUCGCCCACUGCGUGGAGAACCUCAAAAUGGCCAAACAAGAUAUACAUAGCAUAUAAACAGAAUGAAAACUACACCCAAGAGUUCAGAAAUCAUAUAAUAGGCCAAUGAGAAUAAUAAGGGAAAACUAUCCUAUUCAUAUCCAAGAGUUUAACAUAAUAAGACUAAGGAAGUAUUAGGGUGAACUAUCUUAUUCCAGUUAUUUUUAAUAUGCGUCAAUGCUAUACCAUAUAUUCUAGGUAUAUAUAUGAAUAAGGAGCGAAAUAACGAUAUAUGGUAAUAUACAAGGCGAAGUAAUGACUAUACAAAAUGAACAACGAAGGAAGGGGAUGUACAGUAGUACCAUAUCUUCAUAUAUAUUUAUACAUACAUACAUACAUACAUACAUAUAUAUAUAUAUAUAUAUAUAUAUAUAUAUGUAUAAAUAUAUAUACAUAUAAACAUGAGGUCAUCUCAAAUAAUAACCUAUAUCAUCAUAUUCUUAUUUAAGACCUCAUUAUAACUCUUAUCAGGAUUUAAAUACUAUCAUACUCGGGGUUUCUAAUCUACAUGGCCAGACAUGAAAUAAUCAUGCAUAAUAAUGCAAUCAUAAGAUAGGAGAGGCCGAAAACGUACCUUAAAUUCCGAUACCGGAUCAAUGACUAAUCUGUCAUAAGCUAGCCAUAAUAAUGAUCAUAACAAUAAUAACAAUAACAUCAAUAAUGACAUGAAUAACCGACUACUCCGGACAACCAAAAAACCUAGCCAAGCCUAUGCGUACCCCUACAGCCCCAGGCUUGGAAGGUUCAAUCAACAUACAACAACACAAGGCAUAUUCUUCACCUAUAUCUAUGCCACCAUCCCAUCCCGGCUGAUAGAAUAGAUGCAUACUGGUGAUAGGCAAUGUGCAUACAAGAAUGAAUGCAAGGUACACAAUCAAUAUCACAACACAUCAUAACUAUCCUCAUCAGGACCAUCAUCAUUGUAAUCAACCUCCGGCCUCGCCGGGUAUCAACGCAUCACAAUAGUCAUUACCGAAUAACAUAUGCUAAAAUACUCAUAAACAUAAUCAUAUCACCACAGAAUAUCUAUCUAGUCAACACUUUCCAACUAACAAUUAUAGUUAACCAACACUUAAUAUAAUAGAAUCACCAUAGAAUUGGCAAUGAUACGACUUUCUUUCAUGAAUGUGAGUGUAGCUUUUCCUAAACCGUAGCAAAAGAAUAUCCUUUUCACCAUUCCUGUAAUGCUAAACUUUUUCCUUGUUUUACUUUCGUCUCUUUGCUUGAAGUGUCAUCGCAACAGCAAUUCUUCUAUUCUUGAUGUUUCCUUGAGCAAGGAGGAGGUAUUUUGGGGUAAUGAUUAUAUCCAAUUAGUGUUGAUAAAGGAGUUGUUCAAUCAAUUUGCAGAAUCAUUUGGAAGGGAUGAAUUCUUGGAAAAACAAAAUAUCUAAUGCACAAUGAGUUACGUUUUCUUUGAUUAAGGAGGUUGUGAUUUCCAAGUCGUACAACCAUCUUUUGGCUUGCUUGAGAUAUAUGAAGCAUGACUUUCUGCAAAUGGAACGUACAGCUCUAAUGGAACUCAAAGGUGUUGUUCAAUCUUGUCUUCGUUGUCAUAAAGUCCGUCAAUUUUUGGUAUCACAAGGACGAGCAUGAAUGGUCAGGAACUACGCAAUCAUGUGGAUGAAGAUUCCCAAUCUGAGUUCAUUUUUCACCACGAUGAUGUCUACUUUGUCUUCCUUAAGAUGAUGCAUGCUUUGUUGUACAUGGAGCACAAAGGUACAUGAGAAAAACAUCGUUUAUUAUAUAACACACAAAUGAGGAUAAUGUUGUACAUAAUGUUUCUUUGCUCAAGUUGGAAAGGAAACGUUGUUGAGUCUUUUAAGUUGUAUUUAUUCAGGAUGGUGGCUUGUAUUCUAUAUUAUUGAUAUACGUUAAGAAUAAUAUUGAAUAAAAUAAAUAAGAUAUUAUUUUCUCUAAUAACUCCUACCAAUCAACUUUUAAAUUAUCAACAUGGGUUGUGGUGUAGCACGACUGUUCUAUGUUUAACAAGAGGUUUUGGGUUCCAGCUCAAAUAUGAAGAAAAUGUUGUUGGGAGCGCCAUCUAGUCGGGUUUCUAAUGUGGGUACCGGACAUGAGUGAGAAACCAAAAAGAAAAAAACUCUAAAUUUGUUCCUUCCCAAGAACCGUGAAGCUAGUGAUGCUUUCGGC